AUAAGAAUAGUUUAGGACAGUCAAAGUGAUUGCAAUUUUGGGUAUUGUAGGUUUUGUUCCUUUA
This 64-nucleotide transfer RNA is filed under the name Paraleius leontonychus. RNAcentral describes it as "tRNA-Pro(tgg)". Lineage: Eukaryota; Metazoa; Arthropoda; Arachnida; Sarcoptiformes; Scheloribatidae. The record is from RNAcentral.